This 320-nucleotide ribosomal RNA is filed under the name uncultured eukaryote. RNAcentral describes it as "partial 18S ribosomal RNA". It matches the Rfam family "Eukaryotic small subunit ribosomal RNA", at positions 1470 to 1796 of the family's 1831-position model. The record is from RNAcentral.
CCCUUAGAUGUCCUGGGCUGCACGCGCGCUACACUGACACGUUCAACAAGUCUUACCUGCUCCGAUAGGACUGGGUAAUCUCUUAAAUGCGUGUCGUGAUGGGGAUAGAUUAUUGCAAUUAUUAAUCUUCAACGAGGAAUUCCUAGUAAGUGCAAGUCAUCAGCUUGUGCUGAUUACGUCCCUGCCCUUUGUACACACCGCCCGUCGCACCUACCGAUUGAAUGGUCCGGUGAAAUCUCGGGACGGCGGCUUGGUCGCUUGCGUCCGACUGCUGAAACUUGAUUAAACCAUAUCAUUUAGAGGAAGGUGAAGUCGUAACA